UACGGAGGGUGCAAGCGUUGUUCGGAAUUACUGGGCGUAAAGCGCGUGUAGGCGGCUGGGUAAGUCAGAUGUGAAAGCCUUCCGCUUAACGGAAGAAGGGCAUUUGAAACUGCCCGGCUUGAGUACGGGAGAGGAGAGUGGAAUUCCCGGUGUAGAGGUGAAAUUCGUAGAUAUCGGGAGGAACACCAGUGGCGAAGGCGGCUCUCUGGCCCGAUACUGACGCUGAGACGCGAAAGCGUGGGGAGCAAACAGG
This 253-nucleotide ribosomal RNA is filed under the name uncultured bacterium. RNAcentral describes it as "partial 16S ribosomal RNA". It matches the Rfam family "Bacterial small subunit ribosomal RNA", at positions 524 to 776 of the family's 1533-position model. The record is from RNAcentral.